UACGUAGGGUGCGAGCGUUGUCCGGAAUUAUUGGGCGUAAAGGGCUCGUAGGCGGUUUGUCGCGUCGGGAGUGAAAACUCAGGGCUUAACCCUGAGCCUGCUUCCGAUACGGGCAGACUAGAGGUAUGCAGGGGAGAACGGAAUUCCUGGUGUAGCGGUGAAAUGCGCAGAUAUCAGGAGGAACACCGGUGGCGAAGGCGGGUCUCUGGGCCGUAACUGACGCUGAGGAGCGAAAGCAUGGGGAGCGAACAGGA
RNAcentral lists this ribosomal RNA (254 nucleotides) under uncultured bacterium. RNAcentral's name for it is "partial 16S ribosomal RNA". It matches the Rfam family "Bacterial small subunit ribosomal RNA", at positions 524 to 777 of the family's 1533-position model. The record is from RNAcentral.